AAAGCACGUCAAAAGCGAUUUAGGCCUCGGCUUUGACUUUGAUAAGGAAAUCAGAUCAAUGAAAAUGGAAUCCUUUGAAGAAACGGAUAUAGGAGAUGCUGGUCGAAUUUUGUAGUAGAGCUGGCCAAACAGUUAAAGAAAAGGUUACCGGAAAAUUUUAAUAUAUUAAAACAGAUUGAUGCAUUUUCUGUUGAAAAUAUUUUCAAAAUUAAAAAGAAAAGUAUCUCUCCAAUCCUUGAGUAUUUUGGUAUUUCUAACAUCGAUAAAAUUGAACGUCUGUACAACGACAUAACCCUGGUAGAGUUGGAAAAUGUCGAUGAUGCAAUAAAGUUCUAGAAUGAAGUUCAGAAAUACCGGGAUUCUGGCGGAAACUGUCGUUUUCAUGAAUUGGCUUCAGUUGCUCCUCAAAUGCAGUCCCUGCCUUGGUCGAAUGCCGACGUCAAGCGGGUCUUUAAUCAAGUGAAUUUAAUUAAAACAAAAAUUCGAAAUAGCAUGAGCGUUGAAACAUUAAACGCUUUACUAAGUAUAAGUGCUGUUUUAACUACAGUAUACCACCCAGCUGCCUAAAUAAAAUGGAACAAAAGCAUUUUUACCAAACCGAUGAUGCCGAUAAUGUUGACGAUAUCUUAAAUGUCC
Molecule: long non-coding RNA, 636 nt
Organism: Drosophila biarmipes
Lineage: Eukaryota; Metazoa; Arthropoda; Insecta; Diptera; Drosophilidae
Exons: 3
Source: RefSeq, a predicted model, not a curated record